GCAUUAGCUAGUUGGUAAGGUAACGGCUUACCAAGGCAACGAUGCAUAGCCGACCUGAGAGGGUGAUCGGCCACACUGGAACUGAGACACGGUCCAGACUCCUACGGGAGGCAGCAGUAGGGAAUCUUCCGCAAUGGGCGAAAGCCUGACGGAGCAACGCCGCGUGAGUGAUGAAGGUCUUCGGAUCGUAAAACUCUGUUAUUAGGGAAGAACAUAUGUGUAAGUAACUGUGCACAUCUUGACGGUACCUAAUCAGAAAGCCACGGCUAACUACGUGCCAGCAGCCGCGGUAAUACGUAGGUGGCAAGCGUUAUCCGGAAUUAUUGGGCGUAA
Molecule: ribosomal RNA, 333 nt
Filed under: Staphylococcus aureus
Lineage: Bacteria; Bacillati; Bacillota; Bacilli; Caryophanales; Staphylococcaceae
Description: bacterial SSU rRNA
Rfam family: Bacterial small subunit ribosomal RNA
Source: RNAcentral